This 301-nucleotide ribosomal RNA is filed under the name uncultured bacterium. RNAcentral's name for it is "partial 16S ribosomal RNA". It matches the Rfam family "Bacterial small subunit ribosomal RNA", at positions 509 to 809 of the family's 1533-position model. The record is from RNAcentral.
CAGUAGCCGCGGGAAUACGGAGGGGACUAGCGUUGUUCGGAAUUACUGGGCGUAAAGCGCGCGUAGGCGGCUUUUUAAGUCAGAGGUGAAAGCCCGGGGCUCAACCCCGGAAUUGCCUUUGAAACUGGAAAGCUAGAAUCUUGGAGAGGUCAGUGGAAUUCCGAGUGUAGAGGUGAAAUUCGUAGAUAUUCGGAAGAACACCAGUGGCGAAGGCGACUGACUGGACAAGUAUUGACGCUGAGGUGCGAAAGCGUGGGGAGCAAACAGGAUUAGAUACCCCUGUAGUCCCUGUCUCUUAUAU